RNAcentral lists this transfer RNA (71 nucleotides) under Ovis aries (sheep). It matches the Rfam family "tRNA". Rfam says of the family: Transfer RNA (tRNA) molecules are approximately 80 nucleotides in length. The record is from Rfam by way of RNAcentral. Lineage: Eukaryota; Metazoa; Chordata; Mammalia; Artiodactyla; Bovidae.
UCCUGGUGGCUCAGAUGGUAAAGAAUCUGCCUGUGAUGCAGGAGACCUGGGUUCGAUCCCUGGGUCAGGAA